This 450-nucleotide ribosomal RNA is filed under the name uncultured Flavobacteriia bacterium. RNAcentral describes it as "bacterial SSU rRNA". It matches the Rfam family "Bacterial small subunit ribosomal RNA", at positions 45 to 496 of the family's 1533-position model. The record is from RNAcentral. Lineage: Bacteria; Pseudomonadati; Bacteroidota; Flavobacteriia.
GGCCUAACACAUGCAAGUCGAGGGGUAUAGUUCUUCGGAACUAGAGACCGGCGCACGGGUGCGUAACGCGUAUGCAAUCUACCUUUUACAGAGGGAUAGCCCAGAGAAAUUUGGAUUAAUACCUCAUAGUAUUAUGAAAUGGCAUCAUUUUAUAAUUAAAGUCACAACGGUAAAAGAUGAGCAUGCGUCCCAUUAGCUAGUUGGUAAGGUAACGGCUUACCAAGGCUACGAUGGGUAGGGGUCCUGAGAGGGAGAUCCCCCACACUGGUACUGAGACACGGACCAGACUCCUACGGGAGGCAGCAAUGAGGAAUAUUGGACAAUGGGCGCAAGCCUGAUCCAGCCAUGCCGCGUGCAGGAUGACGGUCCUAUGGAUUGUAAACUGCUUUUAUACAGGAAGAAACACUGGUUCGUGAACCAGCUUGACGGUACUGUAAGAAUAAGGAUCGG